Molecule: unclassified non-coding RNA, 808 nt
Filed under: Melitaea cinxia (Glanville fritillary)
Lineage: Eukaryota; Metazoa; Arthropoda; Insecta; Lepidoptera; Nymphalidae
Description: misc RNA ENSMCXG00005015886.1
Source: RNAcentral
UUAAACUUAUAGUUUAUUAUUUGAGGAGAAACAGGUCCUACUGGCCUAUUUUACCUCCCGCUGUCAAAGUCUACUCGUAUCGUCAUGCAUCAAAUAGUGCUAUUCACAAGUGGUGAACCGGGCCCUUUGUGUACAAAAUGUAUAUAUUAUAUUUAGUUUGUAAGACAUGCCCAUACAUAGAGUGAACAUUUGUAGUGUAUCUCUAUUAGAUUAUUACCAGUUGUUACCGCUUAUGCCUUGAUAACAAAUAUCAUGAAAUUGUACUUAUUAUAUAUAAAAAAAAUCUUUUCUAAUCAGAUUUUUCGAGCCGUUAUUUCAUUUCAUAUAAUAUUUUCGUAUUUAGAUGUGAAGCAUUUAAAUGUCCACAAGUUCUAAUGGAAAUUAAACAAAAAAAAAAAAAAGGUUUUUGGCGGGAAUUAACAAGUCGACACAUUUUUUUUUAUAACUAGGUCGGCAAACAAGCGUACCUGGCGGUACCUAAGUUGAGAAUCAUUAUAUUUUGAUGUUGUUUUCAGUUACUGUUGCAAAGGCACUUGUAAAUAUUUAUAUGUUUCACAUCUGUUACAUAUCUGUCAAUUUUUUAUAAAUAUUUCUUGGCAUGGUAAUGUUUUUUUUUUUUGAUUUGUGAUUUACUUUCUGUGGUUGACUCCGUUGACUCUUUGAGUGACAUUUGAUUAUAGUGUUUAAUAUAUUAUUUAAAAUAUAGUAGCAAUUUUGUACAUAGAUAAUAUUUUGAUAUAUUUAUAAAUGUUGUACAAAUAUUCGAUGAAGUUAAUAAAAUAUUUUGGUAGUAAAAAUAAAAAAAAAA